AAUGGCCUUAUGGCUGAACCAGUAACUUAGAGGAAUGUAUAAUGAUUAACUUAUAUAAAAUUCUAGGCAUAAUAAUAAUGAUGACUAUUUUUUGUCUAUAAGUAUUGACCAAAUUACGUGCCAGCCGUCGCGGUAAUACGUAGAAUACAAGUGUUAUUCGUCUUUAUUAGGUUUAAAGGGUACCUAGACAGAAAAUAAAGCCAUAAUAGGGACUAAUUUUCUAGAGUUUUAUAAAAGAAAAAAGAAUUAUUAGAAGAGAGAUGAAAUUUAAUGAAACUAAUAGGACUGGUAACAGCGAAGGCAUUUUUCUAUGUAAAAACUGACGUUGAGGGACGAAGCCUAGGGUAACGAUAAGGAUUAGAUACCCUAAUAGUCCUAGGAGAAAAUUAUGAAUGCCAUAGGCUAGAAAUAUUGGUCUAUAAAUGAAAGUGCAAGCAUUCCACCUUACAAGUAAAGCGGCAACGCCGAAACUGAAAUCAUUAGACCGUUACUGAAAACAGUAGUGAAGUAUGUUAUUUAAUUCGAUGAUCCGCGAAUAACCUUACCACAAUUUGAAUAUUAUUACAAGUGCUGCACGGCUGUCUUCAGCUUAUGUCGUGAGAUUAUGGUUAGAUCCAUUAAUAAGCGUAAACCCUUGCUUUAUUUAAACUAAUUUAUAAAAAAGAAAGGAAAAGGUUCUUUUUUUUUUUUAAGUUUCAUAUAGCAGUUAGCCACUAUAUUGGUAUUAUAAAAGGGAUUAAGACAAGUCAUCAUGGCCUUAAUAUUGUGGGCUAUAGACGUGCCACAUUUGCCUUUACAAAGGGAUGCAAUAUUGCGAAAUAGAGCUAAUCCUUAAAACUGGACAUAACUAAUCGU
This 855-nucleotide ribosomal RNA is filed under the name Lithothelium septemseptatum. RNAcentral describes it as "SSU rRNA". It matches the Rfam family "Bacterial small subunit ribosomal RNA", at positions 370 to 1301 of the family's 1533-position model. The record is from RNAcentral. Lineage: Eukaryota; Fungi; Ascomycota; Eurotiomycetes; Pyrenulales; Pyrenulaceae.